RNAcentral lists this ribosomal RNA (514 nucleotides) under uncultured bacterium. RNAcentral describes it as "bacterial SSU rRNA". It matches the Rfam family "Bacterial small subunit ribosomal RNA", at positions 34 to 507 of the family's 1533-position model. The record is from RNAcentral.
CGCUGGCGGCGUGCCUAAUACAUGCAAGUCAAACGCACUCUCGUUUAGAUUGAAGGAGCUUGCUCCUGAUUGAUAAACAUUUGAGUGAGUGGCGGACGGGUGAGUAACACGUGGGUAACCUGCCCUAAAGUGGGGGAUAACAUUUGGAAACAGAUGCUAAUACCGCAUAAAACCUAACACCGCAUGGUGUAGGGUUGAAAGAUGGUUUCGGCUAUCACUUUAGGAUGGACCCGCGGUGCAUUAGUUAGUUGGUGAGGUAAAGGCUCACCAAGACCGUGAUGCAUAGCCGACCUGAGAGGGUAAUCGGCCACACUGGGACUGAGACACGGCCCAGACUCCUACGGGAGGCAGCAGUAGGGAAUCUUCCACAAUGGACGAAAGUCUGAUGGAGCAACGCCGCGUGAGUGAAGAAGGUUUUCGGAUCGUAAAACUCUGUUGUUGGAGAAGAAUGUAUCUGAUAGUAACUGAUCAGGUAGUGACGGUAUCCAACCAGAAAGCCACGGCUAACUACGUG